This 509-nucleotide ribosomal RNA is filed under the name uncultured bacterium. RNAcentral describes it as "bacterial SSU rRNA". It matches the Rfam family "Bacterial small subunit ribosomal RNA", at positions 32 to 516 of the family's 1533-position model. The record is from RNAcentral.
AAUCAACGCUGGCGGCGUGCCUCAGACAUGCAAGUCGAACGCGAAAGCUCCCUUCGGGGAGCAAGUAGAGUGGCGCACGGGUGAGUAACACGUAGGUAAUCUACCUUUGGAUGGGGAAUAACAACCGGAAACGGUUGCUAAUACCGCAUAAUGCAGCGGCACCUAAUGGUGACAGUUGUUAAAGCGGGGGAUCGCAAGACCUCGCGUCUGAAGAGGAGCCUGCGGCAGAUUAGCUAGUUGGUAAGGUAACGGCUUACCAAGGCGAUGAUCUGUAGCCGGCCUGAGAGGGCGGUCGGCCACACUGACACUGACAUACGGGUCAGACUCCUACGGGAGGCAGCAGUCGGGAAUUUUGGGCAAUGGGCGAAAGCCUGACCCAGCAACGCCGCGUAAAGGAUGAAAUCCCUUGGGAUGUAAACUUCGCAAGAACGGGAAGAAUAAGCCGGUGUAAAUACCACCGGCGAUGACGGUACUGUUUGUAAGCUCCGGCUAACUCCGUGCCAGCAGCC